This 833-nucleotide ribosomal RNA is filed under the name uncultured bacterium. RNAcentral's name for it is "bacterial SSU rRNA". It matches the Rfam family "Bacterial small subunit ribosomal RNA", at positions 627 to 1459 of the family's 1533-position model. The record is from RNAcentral.
UGGAAACUGUNUGACUUGAGUGCAGAAGGGGAGAGUGGAAUUCCAUGUGUAGCGGUGAAAUGCGUAGAUAUAUGGAGGANCACCAGUGGCGAAAGCGGCUCUCUGGUCUGUCACUGACGCUGAGGCUNGAAAGCGUGGGUAGCGAACAGGAUUAGAUACCCUGGUAGUNCACGCCGUAAACGAUGAGUGCUAGGUGUUAGGCCCUUUCCGGGGCUUAGUGCCGGAGCUAACGCAAUAAGCACUCCGCCUGGGGAGUACGACCGCAAGGUUGAAACUCAAAGGAAUUGACGGGGGCCCGCACAAGCGGUGGAGCAUGUGGUUUAAUUCGAAGCAACGCGAAGAACCUUACCAGGUCUUGACAUCCCGAUGCUAUUCUUAGAGAUAGGAAGUUACUUCGGUACAUCGGAGACAGGUGGUGCAUGGUUGUCGUCAGCUCGUGUCGUGAGAUGUUGGGUUAAGUCCCGCAACGAGCGCAACCCUUAUUGUUAGUUGCCAUCAUUAAGUUGGGCACUCUAGCGAGACUGCCGGUAAUAAACCGGAGGAAGGUGGGGAUGACGUCAAAUCAUCAUGCCCCUUAUGACCUGGGCUACACACGUGCUACAAUGGUCGGUACAACGAGUUGCGGGCCGGUGACGGCAAGCUAAUCUCUGAAAGCCGAUCUCAGUUCGGAUUGGAGGCUGCAACUCGCCUCCAUGAAGUCGGAAUCGCUAGUAAUCGCGGAUCAGCACGCCGCGGUGAAUACGUUCCCGGGCCUUGUACACACCGCCCGUCACACCACGAGAGUUUGUAACACCCGAAGUCGGUGAGGUAACCUUUUAGGGGCCAGCCGCCUA